AUGGCGGGCGCCAUCUUCAUGUCCAACAGCGAGACAAGGGAUCACUGCUUCAACACGGGAGUCUUCGGGCUACCGCUAGAGUACGGGCCCUUUGUGGCCAAUGUCAAGCAGGGGAUGCCCCUGUUCCUCUUUGACUACAAAUUCUGUAAGCUUUAUGGUGUCUUCAAGGCCGCCUCGGAUGGCGGCAUGGAUAUUAGCAGGACCGCGUUCCGGUCCACCGUCGCACGUACCCCGCACAAGUCCAGAGAACUCGAGAAAGUCGUACAGCUAUAUGGCUUAUUUGACAAAAAGAGGGUAGAGCACCCUAUUUGCAAUUAUUCAACAAGUGCUAAUCUGGAAAAGGAGCACUCAAGAAGAAGGAGACCACACAAAAGGAGCUUGACUCCAAAUAGUCCUCUUUUUUCUGCUGAUCGUUCCCACACUUUGAUACCCUCGAGUACCCCAAAGAUCUCAACUGUCGAAACAAACUGCUCUUCUUCUACAAGCAUGCAUCUAAUUGUACCACCUACUUUUGAGACACAGCCAAGUGUGUCGAUGCCCUUGGUAACUAAACCUUUUGGAGUCCAGACUGCUCCCAUCCAGAGCAACCAAAUAAAACUACCUUAUCAUAGUCAAGAACAUCUCCGAGAUGUUUCAGCAAUAGGUGGCACUUCAACUCAGGUGUCUGCUCCUUACUCUCAGACAACUAUAUACCACCAAGAUCAGUUUGUGGCAAAUCAGUCGUACCCAUCAUCUGAUGAUUAUCCGCACAAUAGCUUGUCUUCUGGGUGCAUGACACAAGGUCGAACUGAUGGAGUUAGGUUUUCAGUAAAGCAGUCAUAUGGAGGCAGUAGCUUCAAGAGUAUAAGUCCUAGAGAAGAUGUUUGUAAACAGCUGGUCCAUGAACAGGACAUGGACAUGCCCUGUCCUCCUGCAGAGCUAAACCUGCCAAGUGGACUAGAAGGAGAAGAAUGCGCAGAUCCUCCCUUCUUGAACUUCAAGAGGCGCAACAAAGCGGCUGGGCUGGAUACAGAUGUAGGACAGGAGGUUAGUGACAAAAAGAAGAGAAGAAAGCUUGUGCGCCCUUCUUUUGGAGAAAAUAACAUUACUGGUAUUUCUGACCUCCAAGGGAAUGCCAUAGUUGAAGUGUGCCCUUCACUCGAAGAAAAUAUAACUACUGGUAAUUCUGGAAAUGUCCUCCAGGGGAAUGCCAUUACGGAAAGGAAUCAAAGCCCUGCUUCCAUAGUUGAAAGGAAUCAAAGCUCUGCUUCCAUACUUGAAAUGAAUCAUAGCCCUGCUGACAUAAUUGAAAGGAAUCAAAGCUCCGCUUCCAUAGUUGGAAUGAAUCAUAGCCCUGCUGCCAUACUUGGAAGGAAUCAAAGCCCUGCUUCCAUAGUUGAAAGGAAUCAAAGCCCUGCUGCCAUAAUUGAAAGGAAUCAAAGCCCUGUCAAAAUUGAUGGUAACAAGUUCAUCAUUGACCUAAAUGAACCGGCAUCUGUAGAAAGUGAGCUGGCAGAGGAUGGUAGCAUUGCACCGUGUCCUGUUGCUGCCAACAUACAGACAGAGAAAUCGUGUGAUGUAGAUGUGAAAAAGCAAAAACUGCUCAAAUUCGGCUAA
RNAcentral lists this ribosomal RNA (1596 nucleotides) under Triticum aestivum (bread wheat). Its description in RNAcentral is "partial small subunit ribosomal RNA". The record is from RNAcentral. Lineage: Eukaryota; Viridiplantae; Streptophyta; Magnoliopsida; Poales; Poaceae.